RNAcentral lists this ribosomal RNA (468 nucleotides) under uncultured bacterium. RNAcentral describes it as "partial 16S ribosomal RNA". It matches the Rfam family "Bacterial small subunit ribosomal RNA", at positions 28 to 507 of the family's 1533-position model. The record is from RNAcentral.
GACGAACGCUGGCGGCGUGCUUAACACAUGCAAGUCGAACGGAAAGGCCCUGCUCUUGUGGGGUGCUCGAGUGGCGAACGGGUGAGUAACACGUGAGUAACCUGCCCUUGACUUUGGGAUAACUUCAGGAAACUGGGGCUAAUACCGGAUAGGAGCUCCUACUGCAUGGUGGGGGUUGGAAAGCUUCGGCGGUUGGGGAUGGACUCGCGGCUUAUCAGCUUGUUGGUGGGGUAGUGGCUUACCAAGGCUUUGACGGGUAGCCGGCCUGAGAGGGUGACCGGCCACAUUGGGACUGAGAUACGGCCCAGACUCCUACGGGAGGCAGCAGUGGGGAAUAUUGCACAAUGGGCGGAAGCCUGAUGCAGCAACGCCGCGUGCGGGAUGACGGCCUUCGGGUUGUAAACCGCUUUCGCCUGUGACGAAGCGUGAGUGACGGUAAUGGGUAAAGAAGCACCGGCUAACUACGUG